Molecule: ribosomal RNA, 253 nt
Filed under: uncultured bacterium
Lineage: Bacteria
Description: partial 16S ribosomal RNA
Rfam family: Bacterial small subunit ribosomal RNA
Source: RNAcentral
UACGUAGGGUGCAAGCGUUAAUCGGAAUUACUGGGCGUAAAGCGUGCGCAGGCGGUUAUGCAAGACAGAUGUGAAAUCCCCGGGCUUAACCUGGGAACCGCAUUUGUGACUGCAUAGCUGGAGUACGGCAGAGGGGGAUGGAAUUCCGCGUGUAGCAGUGAAAUGUGUAGAUAUGCGGAGGAACACCGAUGGCGAAGGCAGUCCCCUGGGCCUGUACUGACGCUCAUGCACGAAAGCGUGGGGAGCAAACAGG